Molecule: ribosomal RNA, 253 nt
Filed under: uncultured bacterium
Lineage: Bacteria
Description: partial 16S ribosomal RNA
Rfam family: Bacterial small subunit ribosomal RNA
Source: RNAcentral
UACGAAGGGUGCAAGCGUUGCUCGGAAUUAUUGGGCGUAAAGGGUUGGUAGGUGGUCUUGUUUGUCUAAGGUGAAAUCCCAUGGCUUAACUGUGGAAGUGCCUUAGAAACGGCAAGACUAGAGUCCUAGAGGGGUUUGUGGAAUUCCCGGUGUAGCGGUGAAAUGCGUAGAGAUCGGGAGGAACACCAGCGGCGAAGGCGGCAAACUGGAUAGGCACUGACACUCAACAGCGAAAGCGUGGGGAGCAAACAGG